GGGGGUAUAGCUUAGUGGUACAGCACAUGCUUAGCAUGCAAGAGGCCCUGGGUUCAAUCCCCAGUACUUCCA
Molecule: transfer RNA, 72 nt
Filed under: Camelus dromedarius (Arabian camel)
Lineage: Eukaryota; Metazoa; Chordata; Mammalia; Artiodactyla; Camelidae
Also listed under: 1 other name
Rfam family: tRNA
About the family: Transfer RNA (tRNA) molecules are approximately 80 nucleotides in length. Their secondary structure includes four short double-helical elements and three loops (D, anti-codon, and T loops).
Source: Rfam by way of RNAcentral